GCCGGGUGUUGUGGUGCACGCCUGUAAUCCCAGCUACUCAGGAGGCUGAGACAGGAGAAUCGCUUGAACCCGGGAGGUGGAGGUUGCAGUGAGCCGAGAUCAUGCCAUUGCACUCCAGCCUGGGUGACAGAGCGAGACUCUGUCUCAA
Molecule: non-coding RNA, 148 nt
Organism: Gorilla gorilla gorilla (western lowland gorilla)
Lineage: Eukaryota; Metazoa; Chordata; Mammalia; Primates; Hominidae
Rfam family: Metazoan signal recognition particle RNA
About the family: The signal recognition particle (SRP) is a universally conserved ribonucleoprotein. It is involved in the co-translational targeting of proteins to membranes.
Source: Rfam